CUGGCUCAGGAUGAACGCUGGCGGCGUGCUUAACACAUGCAAGUCGAACGGAGCUUAGAAGGAAGCUUGCUUUCAUUAAGCUUAGUGGCGGACGGGUGAGUAACGCGUGAGUAACCUGCCCUUGAGAGGGGAAUAACAUCGAGAAAUCGGUGCUAAUACCGCAUAAUGUCGGAGUACCGCAUGACAUUCCGACCAAAGAUUUUAUCGCUCAAGGAUGGACUCGCGUCCGAUUAGCUAGUUGGUGAGGUAACGGCCCACCAAGGCUUCGAUCGGUAGCCGAACUGAGAGGUUGAUCGGCCACAUUGGGACUGAGACACGGCCCAGACUCCUACGGGAGGCAGCAGUGGGGAAUAUUGGGCAAUGGGCGCAAGCCCUGACCCAGCAACGCCGCGUGAAGGAUGAAGGUCUUCGGAUUGUAAACUCCUUUGAUUGGGGAAGAAUAAAUGACCUACCCAAAGAACAAGCCACGGCUAACUACGUGCCAGCCGCCGC
RNAcentral lists this ribosomal RNA (492 nucleotides) under uncultured bacterium. RNAcentral describes it as "bacterial SSU rRNA". It matches the Rfam family "Bacterial small subunit ribosomal RNA", at positions 19 to 518 of the family's 1533-position model. The record is from RNAcentral.